UUACAGAUGUUUUUGCGGGGCCAAGUGGAUGAAGAAAUCUUUUCAUUCUGUGUUCGGUCCGGUUUUCUGACUACGACUGUGUCCGGGCAGGUUGAAGCGCAGUAACACAGGCGGUCACAUGAUCAGGUUAAUUA
This is a long non-coding RNA of Sphaeramia orbicularis (orbiculate cardinalfish), 134 nucleotides long. RefSeq lists it as uncharacterized. The record is from RefSeq and is a predicted model, not a curated record. Lineage: Eukaryota; Metazoa; Chordata; Actinopteri; Kurtiformes; Apogonidae. The transcript has 3 exons.